Molecule: non-coding RNA, 472 nt
Organism: Poecilia reticulata (guppy)
Lineage: Eukaryota; Metazoa; Chordata; Actinopteri; Cyprinodontiformes; Poeciliidae
Source: RefSeq, a predicted model, not a curated record
AAAAAAGACUUCUCUUAUAAUCUUGAAGAUUUACCCAGUGUCAAGGCGAUCCACAAAACUAACUACCUAGAGCUGCAGACCUCAUAUUGUACAAUGAGCCAGAAGAAAGCUUUCAAAAGCCUGGAGAAUACAAUCAUUUAGUUUCAAGUUGGGUCAAGCACUUAGGAUCAAAAGAAGCAUUUAUUGGCUGUCACUUGUUUCUGGGUCCAUUGGGAGAACACCGACUUCACGUCAUGUAGAAAACGAGAGCGAUGAAUGAUAACGGGAGCAGAGGACGGAGCUUGUCAUCUCUCCUUCCCUGGCUUCGCACCCACGGCCCUCGUGACUCACUGUUGGGCUGAGUUUCUCCAACUUUUGAGGCACAGGUAAGACGGUCAAACCAUCUUAUUGACCUAAAUCCAACAAGAAAUCUGCAGCAAGAUAUUGACAGAGCCUCUACAUCCAUUCUGACUGAGGUCGAUAUGCUAACCAC